This 245-nucleotide ribosomal RNA is filed under the name uncultured Marinilabiliaceae bacterium. RNAcentral describes it as "partial 16S ribosomal RNA". It matches the Rfam family "Bacterial small subunit ribosomal RNA", at positions 524 to 768 of the family's 1533-position model. The record is from RNAcentral. Lineage: Bacteria; Pseudomonadati; Bacteroidota; Bacteroidia; Marinilabiliales; Marinilabiliaceae.
UACGGAGGAUGCGAGCGUUAUCCGGAUUUAUUGGGUUUAAAGGGUGCGUAGGCGGAAAGGUAAGUCAGUGGUGAAAUAUCCGCGCUCAACGUGGGGCGUGCCAUUGAUACUGUUUUUCUAGAGUUCCGUUGCCGUGGGAGGAAUGAGUAGUGUAGCGGUGAAAUGCAUAGAUAUUACUCAGAACACCGAUUGUGAAGACAUCUCACGAAGCGGCGACUGACGCUGAGGCACGAAAGCGUGGGGAU